Molecule: long non-coding RNA, 248 nt
Filed under: Gossypium barbadense (sea-island cotton)
Lineage: Eukaryota; Viridiplantae; Streptophyta; Magnoliopsida; Malvales; Malvaceae
Description: long non-coding RNA (GBAR_LNC014286)
Source: RNAcentral
AAAGAAAAAGGAUUAGAAUAAAUAACAAUAAAAUGAAAAAAAAUACUUACCUAAGCUUUCUUGUGCGCCAAAACUAUCUCCAAGGUCAAUGAUAUCAUUUUGAUCUCCCAAAUCAGCAUGGAUCAAGUAUCUCUCGUUCAAAAACAAACCAUCAACACUAAACAUAAAAAUAUUAGGCACAUGAGUGUUCAAGUAAAAAAUAACUUGUAACUUUCUUUGAAUAUGCAUGGUCAUCCAUAAGAAUUUCC